This 468-nucleotide ribosomal RNA is filed under the name uncultured bacterium. RNAcentral describes it as "partial 16S ribosomal RNA". It matches the Rfam family "Bacterial small subunit ribosomal RNA", at positions 28 to 507 of the family's 1533-position model. The record is from RNAcentral.
GACGAACGCUGGCGGCGUGCCUAACACAUGCCAGUCGAACGGAAAGGCCCUGCUUUUGUGGGGUGCUCGAGUGGCGAACGGGUGAGUAACACGUGAGUAACCUGCCCUUGACUUUGGGAUAACUUCAGGAAACUGGGGCUAAUACCGGAUAGGAGCUCCUGCUGCAUGGUGGGGGUUGGAAAGUUUCGGCGGUUGGGGAUGGACUCGCGGCUUAUCAGCUUGUUGGUGGGGUAGUGGCUUACCAAGGCUUUGACGGGUAGCCGGCCUGAGAGGGUGACCGGCCACAUUGGGACUGAGAUACGGCCCAGACUCCUACGGGAGGCAGCAGUGGGGAAUAUUGCACAAUGGGCGGAAGCCUGAUGCAGCAACGCCGCGUGCGGGAUGACGGCCUUCGGGUUGUAAACCGCUUUCGCCUGUGACGAAGCGUGAGUGACGGUAAUGGGUAAAGAAGCACCGGCUAACUACGUG